GUCCACACUGUAAACGAUGAUUACUAGGUGUUGGAGGAUUGACCCCUUCAGUGCCGCAGUUAACACAAUAAGUAAUCCACCUGGGGAGUACGACCGCAAGGUUGAAACUCAAAGGAAUUGACGGGGGCCCGCACAAGCAGUGGAGUAUGUGGUUUAAUUCGACGCAACGCGAAGAACCUUACCAAGUCUUGACAUCCUGCGACGGUGCUGGAAACAGUACUUUCCUUCGGGACGCAGAGACAGGUGGUGCAUGGUUGUCGU
This 261-nucleotide ribosomal RNA is filed under the name uncultured bacterium. Its description in RNAcentral is "partial 16S ribosomal RNA". It matches the Rfam family "Bacterial small subunit ribosomal RNA", at positions 793 to 1055 of the family's 1533-position model. The record is from RNAcentral.